Molecule: long non-coding RNA, 286 nt
Filed under: Volvox carteri
Lineage: Eukaryota; Viridiplantae; Chlorophyta; Chlorophyceae; Chlamydomonadales; Volvocaceae
Description: long non-coding RNA (VCAR_LNC004256)
Source: RNAcentral
CUUAAUCCGCCUAAUCCGUCCUAAUCCGCGCGAUGUUUCCAUAUGCGACGGAUUAAGCCUUAAUCCGCGACUUUUAAUCCGAGUGGAAACACCCCCUAAGUUAUGCCCAUAUGUAUGUAUGUAUGUAUGUAUGUAUGUAUGUAUGUAUGUAUGUAUGUAUGUAUGUAUGUAUGUGUGUAUGUAUGUGUGUAUGUGUGUAUGUAUGUAUGUAUGUAUGUAUGUAUGUAUGUAUGUAUGUAUGUAUGUAUGUAUGUAUGUAUGUAUGUAUGUAUGUAUGUAUGUAUGU